This 1413-nucleotide unclassified non-coding RNA is filed under the name Hevea brasiliensis (rubber tree). Lineage: Eukaryota; Viridiplantae; Streptophyta; Magnoliopsida; Malpighiales; Euphorbiaceae. The record is from RNAcentral.
ACGUCCUUUCUGCAUCACUUUUGGAUCACCUUUGAUCGGCAAUUUAGGCCUCCAACGAGCCAUUUCAGAACGCUCAACAUGGAAUUCUUGCUUCUUGCAUGUUGCUGCAAACCAAGACCCAGUUCCAAGUCUCUUUCUCCGACCUCACAUUCCUCAAUUUUUGGCCUCAACUCCACAAACUAUUCUUUAUAGGCCUUUUGGUGCAUUUCUCUUGUGUUCUGAAUUGGGAUGUACUUGUGUUGAGGACCCUGAAGUAGUUGUUCGUUUUUUAGAAUCAAUGGCCUUGGAAAGCACGGGAAGUCAAAUUUCUGACGAAUACUUGCUGAGGUAUUAUGCAGAAAUAUUGGAGACGCUGAAAGCCAGACUUAUCUUGAAGAGAAGUUCACUGCUUGGUCUUUCGGUUACAGAUUCACUUGAGGCAGGGAUAAUUCUACAACUGGAAGCAAUUGGUGCUAAAAGGAUCCAGCAACCACAGCAUAACAAGGACUUCACCAACCUGGUCUCCAAAUUGAAAGAAAGGGAGCAAAUCCGUAUGUUCAAUAAAAGGAAAGCCUUGAAUCCAAGCCGAAAAUUAAAUGAAAUAAAGAUAAAAAUGGCCUACCUCGAAUGGUACAAGAAGAGGUGCAAGGCCAAGGAAAUAGGAUACUAUGAUAGUUACAAGAACCAUCUUUCUGAAAGUGAUAGAGAUGUUACCAAGUAUAAGAAAUUUCUCACGAACUACUGGAAAGACUUGGUUGAAGAAGCUGAGAAAAAGCCCCAAAAGGAAGGGAAAUUCAUUCAAUUGACGUGGCUUUUUGCCGGAACAAAUUAUAGAAGAAUGGUUGAGCCUCUUGAGAUAGCAGAGUACUACAGAACACAUGGCAACAGAAACUAUGAGGCUUUAAGGUCUGAACAUUACCGUCUGUUGGAGAAGUGGCAAAAAGAGGAUGCAGAUAGACCUACUGGCCCCCCGAGUAACAAGAAGAAGAAAGAAGUGGCUGGUGCUUUGACAGAGGAUUCUUGCUUUUGGGCAAAGGUGGAGGAAGCUAUCAUUUCAUGUGAAUUGUGGAUGGCUCCUACAUCCAGUGCCUUGGAGAAACAAUCAUCAAGGGAAUGCCUAAUUGACUUUGAGAAGUAUGUAAUGGAGCAAAUCAAGAAUUAUGCAGUAUCACCUGAGAUUUUCUUGAGGGAAAGCAGUUUUAUGAAAUGGUGGGGAAUGUAUCAGAAUACUGCCUCUAAUCGUUCACUCAUUGACUUUAUGAGGAACAGUAGAAAUGUCCAAUAUGAGAAGGGGUGCUUUUAGUCCUCUCACCGAAUAGAUUGUACUUUGUUGAUGGGAAUAAAUGUGUGCAUUUGCUCUAAAUUGAGUAAUGUGAAAUAUCCUAGUGAAGUUCAGUCAAUCAAAUUUUGAAUGGCAGCAUCUUUUUUUUUUUU